ACAUUGACCAGAGCAUGACCUAAUGAAUUUCAGAAGGUCAAAGGAUAUAGAAUUCUCAUCAGCAUCCUAGCAACAUCCCCUGAGAAAGCAAUGACUGGUGGCAAUGGCUGAAUCAGGAACAGGGAACACACUAAACACACUGAGGAAAGUCCUAAAUUCUCUCCACACAUUGAGAAGACAGGAAAAGCAAAACCCAUUACAAAUACAUGUAGCCAUCCGAAACCCAUUCUGCAUUAGCCAUGUGCAAAACAAAAGGAAGGAAAAAGAAAGAGGAGGAAAUUUGCUUCAGUUUGUACUCUGAAUCCAUCGGCUCUCUCUAUGGAAGUAAACAACUUAAUGGAAAGUGUUGGAUUCGAUUUCAGCAGACUUGGACUAUAAUCCUGGAUCUUUGAGCAAGACACAAAAUUAUAGAAUCACAGAAUUUGAGAGUGAUGAAGGGCCUCAGCAUUGAUCUAGCCCAGUUCAUACAUGAAAAGGAUACCAUUAUAAUAAACCAAACAAAUGGCCAUCCA
This 512-nucleotide long non-coding RNA is filed under the name Monodelphis domestica (gray short-tailed opossum). RNAcentral describes it as "lncRNA (ENSMODG00000045261.1)". Lineage: Eukaryota; Metazoa; Chordata; Mammalia; Didelphimorphia; Didelphidae. The record is from RNAcentral.